Long non-coding RNA from Podarcis raffonei (Aeolian wall lizard), 1068 nucleotides. RefSeq lists it as uncharacterized. Lineage: Eukaryota; Metazoa; Chordata; Lepidosauria; Squamata; Lacertidae. The transcript has 3 exons. The record is from RefSeq and is a predicted model, not a curated record.
CUCCAUAAAGAAAGCCCUGAGGGUCCUGAGCACUAGCAUUCUCUGGGUGGUUGCCAGAUGCUGAGGGAUAAGCACUCUGCACAUGCCUGGGAGUAAAUCCUCUACCAGCUCCUGUUAGAUUCCCUUAGGUGAGAGAAAGGGUUUCUAGAGUGAUAGCCUAGUAGGUGCCUCCCAGAACUCAUUGGAGGAAGACUAAAUGGUGACCACCACAGCACAGCACUGUCGAAAACGAGGACACAGAUAUCACUCAAUGGCUCUGUGCUAAUUUAAGGAGGAAGCUACCCCAAAGUCGGUGGAGAUGGGAGAAAAAGGACCGUUUUUACCCCCGCCCAAAUCGAGCUUUUAAAGAAGGCGUUUGAAGAGAACCCGUACCCCGGAUACGGGACUAGGGAGGCUCUGGCGAGGUGCAUCGGAGUCGAAGAAGAUCGUGUGCACGUAAGAAGAGGGAUAGUGGGGGUUCCUGGGACUUCCUUAAACCGCAAAUACUGGAUAAAUUUAAAUCGCUCAGAAUAAUUCUUUCGUUGUCAUUCGAAUGCCUUAGCUCUUCCUGGUGCCUCCGAGCUUAACGUGAAAGACCUGGUUUCAGAACUGAAGAGCGAGAACAAAGAUGACUGGGUCCAAAACAAUGAUCAGGAACCGAGCUACAACUCCUUAUAGCCGCUCUGACAGAAGAAGUCCAAGCACUCCGAGGAGCAGUGCAAGAAGUCCGACGCAGCAACAUUACCAGCCACGCAGCUUCCAUUAUCCCGAAAGCUAUGAAGGAGCAGGGUUCUGGCAGUGACCUCUCAGCACCACGCAACCAGGAGAGCCCGUCUAUGCAGCACAGCAGCAGAACUCCCAGGAAUUGAACCCGGUUCAUUACCAGCCAGCUGCUGUUGGUGGAACUGGGCUUUGUGAGACUUCCAAGGCAAGCAACUGCCCAGUUCCAUAUUAUGAUGCAGAGAUGAUGAGGCAGCCUCCAGCAGGGCUGGUAACUUCUGCACUCCAUCAAGCAGUAAAACUCCCUGGUCUGCAAUGGGGAACAGUCAUUCAAUGGCGAACACUUAUGCAACGGGGAAUCAUCCAGCU